AGGGAAACCGAGUCUUAACUGGGCGUUAAGUUGCAGGGUAUAGACCCGAAACCCGGUGAUCUAGCCAUGGGCAGGUUGAAGGUUGGGUAACACUAACUGGAGGACCGAACCGACUAAUGUUGAAAAAUUAGCGGAUGACCUGUGGCUGGGGGUGAAAGGCCAAUCAAACCGGGAGAUAGCUGGUUCUCCCCGAAAGCUAUUUAGGUAGCGCCUCGUGAAUUCAUCUUCGGGGGUAGAGCACUGUUUCGGCUAGGGGGUCAUCCCGACUUACCAACCCGAUGCAAACUGCGAAUACCGGAGAAUGUUAUCACGGGAGACACACGGCGGGUGCUAACGUCCGUCGUGAAGAGGGAAACAACCCAGACCGCCAGCUAAGGUCCCAAAGUCAUGGUUAAGUGGGAAACGAUGUGGGAAGGCCCAGACAGCCAGGAUGUUGGCUUAGAAGCAGCCAUCAUUUAAAGAAAGCGUAAUAGCUCACUGGUCGAGUCGGCCUGCGCGGAAGAUGUAACGGGGCUAAACCAUGCACCGAAGCUGCGGCAGCGAACGUAUCACUUAAAGCGAUUCAGCGGGUUACGAUUGACGGAGCGAAGCGACGUCAAAGCGUAUAGAAAGUCGAGUCGGUUUAAGGAUACGUUCGUUGGGUAGGGGAGCGUUCUGUAAGCCUGUGAAGGUGUGUCGUGAGGCAUGCUGGAGGUAUCAGAAGUGCGAAUGCUGACAUAAGUAACGAUAAUGCGGGUGAAAAACCCGCUCGCCGGAAGACCAAGGGUUCCUGUCCAACGUUAAUCGGGGCAGGGUGAGUCGACCCCUAAGGCGAGGCCGAAAGGCGUAGUCGAUGGGAAACAGGUUAAUAUUCCUGUACUCGGUGUUACUGCGAAGGGGGGACGGAGAAGGCUAUGUUGGCCGGGCGACGGUUGUCCCGGUUUAAGCGUGUAGGUGUGUGGACCAGGCAAAUCCGGUUCACUUUAACACUGAGGCGUGAUGACGAGGCACUACGGUGCUGAAGCAACAAAUGCCCUGCUUCCAGGAAAAGCCUCUAAGCAUCAGGUAACAUCAAAUCGUACCCCAAACCGACACAGGUGGUCAGGUAGAGAAUACCAAGGCGCUUGAGAGAACUCGGGUGAAGGAACUAGGCAAAAUGGUGCCGUAACUUCGGGAGAAGGCACGCUGAUGGUAGGUGAAGUGAUUUACUCAUGGAGCUGAAAUCAGUCGAAGAUACCAGCUGGCUGCAACUGUUUAUUAAAAACACAGCACUGUGCAAACACGAAAGUGGACGUAUACGGUGUGACGCCUGCCCGGUGCCGGAAGGUUAAUUGAUGGGGUCAGCGCAAGCGAAGCUCCUGAUCGAAGCCCCGGUAAACGGCGGCCGUAACUAUAACGGUCCUAAGGUAGCGAAAUUCCUUGUCGGGUAAGUUCCGACCUGCACGAAUGGCGUAAUGAU
Molecule: ribosomal RNA, 1438 nt
Filed under: Salmonella enterica subsp. enterica serovar Krefeld
Lineage: Bacteria; Pseudomonadati; Pseudomonadota; Gammaproteobacteria; Enterobacterales; Enterobacteriaceae
Description: partial 23S ribosomal RNA
Rfam family: Bacterial large subunit ribosomal RNA
Source: RNAcentral